GAGCUCUGACCAUAAACAAAGAGUGGUAGAGCAUCUGCUUUGCAUGCAGAAGGUUCCGGGUUCAAUCUCUGGCAUCUCCA
This is a non-coding RNA of Podarcis lilfordi (Lilford's wall lizard), 80 nucleotides long. The record is from the annotation of a GenBank genome assembly. NCBI's taxonomy places the organism in Eukaryota, Metazoa, Chordata, Lepidosauria, Squamata, Lacertidae.